This 208-nucleotide ribosomal RNA is filed under the name uncultured fungus. RNAcentral describes it as "partial 18S ribosomal RNA". It matches the Rfam family "Eukaryotic small subunit ribosomal RNA", at positions 693 to 887 of the family's 1831-position model. The record is from RNAcentral. Lineage: Eukaryota; Fungi.
GUACUGGUGUUACUGGUUUCUACCUUCUGACGAACCAUCAUGUCAUUAAUUUGGUGUGGUGGGGAAUCAGGACUGUUACUUUGAAAAAAUUAGAGUGUUUAAAGCAGGCUCGCGCUUGAAUACAUUAGCAUGGAAUAAUGAAAUAGGACGUUGAUCCUAUUUUGUUGGUUUCUAGGAUUGACGUAAUGAUUAAUAGGGAUAGUUGGGA